RNAcentral lists this small nucleolar RNA (72 nucleotides) under Choloepus hoffmanni (Hoffmann's two-fingered sloth). Its description in RNAcentral is "Small nucleolar RNA SNORD112 (ENSCHOG00000015698.1)". The record is from RNAcentral. Lineage: Eukaryota; Metazoa; Chordata; Mammalia; Pilosa; Megalonychidae.
UGGAGCAACAAUGAGAGUGUAUCAUGAAAUAAGGGCUAGGAUUAAUCUAUUUCUGAAUAACUGAAAUUCUAG